RNAcentral lists this ribosomal RNA (386 nucleotides) under uncultured bacterium. RNAcentral describes it as "bacterial SSU rRNA". It matches the Rfam family "Bacterial small subunit ribosomal RNA", at positions 335 to 713 of the family's 1533-position model. The record is from RNAcentral.
ACUCCUACGGGAGGCAGCAGUGGGGAAUAUUGCACAAUGGGGGAAACCCUGAUGCAGCCAUGCCGCGUGUGUGAAGAAGGCCUUCGGUUGUAAAGCACUUUCUAGUAGGAGGAAGGUAGUGUAGUUAACACCUGCAUUAUUUGUACGUUACCUACAGAAGAAGCACCGGCUAACUCCGUGCCAGCAGCCGCGGUAAUACGGAGGGUGCGAGCGUUAAUCGGAAUUACUGGGCGUAAAGCGCAUGCAGGCGGCCUGUUAAGUCAGAUGUGAAAGCCCGGGGCUUAACCUCGGAAUUGCAUUUGAAACUGGCAGGCUAGAGUCUUGUAGAGGGGUUAGGAAUUUCAGGUGUAGCGGUGAAAUGCGUAGAGAUCUGAAGGAAUACCAGU